GCUCGAUUUAGAGCCUCGGAGCAUAGAAACGAUGAAGCAAUUCGUUCUCCUCUUAGAGUCAUAACAGCGGUGUAAAAGUGUCGUAACAACGACCUAAUAGCAAUCACGUUGAAAAGGGAAGGGAAAAGGAAGGAAGAUUUCUAUUGAUUUUUAUUCAAGUCCGCUACUUUUAUUUAGCAAUAGAAAAUAUUCUGAAAUUCUUGAAUAUUUGAACAUUUUAUAAAAAUCUUGAAAAUUUUUCGUGAAAAAAAAAAAUAAUAAUAAGCUGGAAAAGAAUAAUAUUGUAUAUAAUAUAUAACAUAAUUUAAAAUUUAAAAGAAAAUAUAAAAUUUUCUUAAGCCAUAUAUCUUGAAUUAUUCCUGUUCUUUAUAACAAAACUCUUCUCCGUGAGAAAUAAGUUUGUAAUAGGAUUUAAAAAAAUAUUCUAAUCUGUAUUGAAGUAAUUUAAGUUGAAGAAAAUUUAUAAUUGUAUAGAAUACAAAGAAUUUUCUAUAAGACCUAUAAUUUAACACGAAGUAUAAACAUGGAUGAAAAAAGUAUAGUUAGAAGAAAACUAACGGUUUUUCAAGGAAAUAAGAUUUGAUAAUCCAAUAAUAUUCCUUAUGAAAAUAUUCGUAAAAAAUUAAAAGUAUAAUUUUAAAAAUGAUUAUUGUUAAUAAUUUUAAUAAAAUUCAUAAUAAAAUUCCUGAUUCCUAUUAAAAGUGUUAAUAAUUUAUGGAGCAAGCGAGCAUUUAUGGACUGAAAAAUAAAAAAUAAAGUAUUCUAUCUACAAUUUACUCAGCAUUAACGAUCAUUUAUUAUUGAAGAUAGACAACGAGAUUCCAUUGAUGUUAGUCUUACUAAGGAUCGUAGCAUAGAAAUGGAAAUUCUUAUCGCUGCCCGUGACUGUGGAUUAAAUUAUGUAAAUUUCCGGGUGUGUCAGUGAUGGUCGUUCAAAAAAAAAAAAAAGCAAAAAUUCAUCGAUCAGGUAUUCCUUUAAAAUUCGAAUGCCAUUGCAAUUGAUAUACGAAUAAGGAAUAAGAAAAGAUAAGAAAAGCAUGUUAUGAUACUUGGACAUUUACGAUUCUGCGACAAGUAUACAAGUAUAAUUGCUUAUGGAUGUGGACACGCCCUGAAAGAAAAAUUCAUCUCAGGAAUGCGCUGAAGUAAUCACGUCCUUGACCGUACUUGACGGAAAUGGCAUUCAACCUUCUGAUACCUUCUUCUUCGUUGUCUAAGAUGGGAUUCUACCGUAAGGCAGUUGUAUUCUAGGUGAACGCCAUGUUUGGAACAUUUAUCUGACAAUUAUCUAAUGAAAAUAUCGGAAAUAAUUUUGAAAAAAAAAUGUAUUAAAAGUUUAAUUUGAAAAAAGAAUACUAGAUGCUUAGAUAGAAAUCAAUUAAAUUUUUUAUUAUAAAUAAUAACGCAUCUUAAUACAUAAUUGAAAAAAUAAUUUUUUUAAUAUAAUUGUUACAAUAAUUACUAUGAUCAUUUGUCAUUUGAUGUAACAAUUGAUGUAAUAUAUUUUUAAAUAAACCAAAUAUUUAUGAAAAAUAAUGAAAUGAUUAUCUAUUUAAUUUAGAAUUUACAAAACAUUUAAUCUUCAAACCAAUUUUCAAAAAUACUAGAUACAUUAAUGAACAAUAUAGUAUCAUAAUAAAUCAUAUAUAUACAUAUUAGAAUAAAUUAUCCAUUUCUCUUUUAUACUCCCACAUUAUAAAGUUUUUGUACAUUUUUUACAUUUUUCAAGCUGUAUCAAAUGCAUAACGUAUAUAUGUACAAUUUGUAUUAUAAUGCAACAAAAUUAUGUAAAAAUAUUAUUUAUCUGAUUUGGAAAUGAGCAUGCGCAACUGAUUUGCAGUGCGAAGUCCAAAUGACAUGAGAGAGGGACGGAGUCUGACAUUCUCGUGUUUUCUUCUCGAGUACAUACUUGUGCGCGCGCACAAGGUAAUCGCAUCUCUCUGGUUGCAUACCGUGGGGCGAAUUCUCGAUGGCGUAUAGUCAGCACCAUAAAACUCGAUUCCAUAAAAAUGACGCGAUAAAAUUAAUUGUUUGAAAUUAAUUUACGAUUGCCACAUAAGAACAGUGUCACGUGAUUGACCAAGAAAAAGUGGAAAUUGGAAAAUUCAAGCUAUAAAACCAUUGUUUUCUAUUAUAAUAUUUCUCUUCUUUUCGCAUCAAAGUAGUAACGUAAUACACGUUAUCUUUUAGGUUAGAAUUAAAGUUUGAGCACACGAAAAAGAAGAAGAAUUUAUGUUGUCGUUAAUAUAAUAUUUGUUAGUGUAAAGUUACAAGCAGCAUCAUAAAAUUCAUGUCUUCCUGAUUUAUCAUAGCAUGAAUAACAAAUACUUUACUCGCAUUCCCUUCAUUCGCUAGUGCGUGGAAUAUCGUAGUAAAGGUUAUUCACUUUUCUUAAGGAAUUAAAAUUAUUUCAGAUUUUGUAAGAUUUGAAUGAUUAAGAAUAAAUAAUGAAAGAAAUAUAAAUAGAUAUAUAUAGAGAUAAAUAUUGUAUAUACAUAUAAAGUUAUUGGAAGAAGAAAAUGAAUGGAUUUUUAUAAAUGAAGAAUAAAAUAAUAGAAUAAUAGAAUAUAAUAUGAAAUAUUAUAAUAAAAUAAAUAUAAUUUAAAAUUUCUUUAAAGAAUUAUUUUUUAGUCAUUUUAUAUAUAAUGAUAAAAAAAAUUAAUCGUUAUAUAUAUAUAAAAUAUGAAUAAUAUAAAAAGCUCAAAAUAUUUUAACAAAGAUUCAAAAGAUAUUUAAUCUUAACAAUAGAUUAAUGAAAAAAAAAUUGAUAAAAUUUCUAUCAAUGGACCGAAUUUAUCCAUCGAGAAUCGAAAUAAAUAGGAAGUAAUUGAAGCUUUUGAAAAAAUACCAAUUUGUGAAGGCACGAUAGAUAAAUGUUUGUUGAAAGUAAACAUAUCGCGGACGUACUGCGGUACGAGUAUUGAAAAAGUGGAAAGAAAGUUGCCAAUGUGCCUCGCAUACCUACUGAUCCGCCGGUCGCGAACAAGUUUUACAGUGAAUGGACCGAGCGAAUGAACUUUUCACUUACUUGCAUCUAUAGCUAAAAGAUUAAUUUCGAUUAAUCGAAAUCUAAUUCUAAUUUAGCUAUUUAAUGAUAUUCGACUAUCAAAAUUUUCUACACUAUUAGAAAGAAAUACUAUAAACUACAUUCUCAAUGAUGAUUAAAAAUAAAAUAUUCUUAUAUGAGUACGAGAACAGAAUUUUUAGAUAACUUUCAAACAUUUUAUAUUAUCCUUCUAAAUCGAAGAUAAUUAAAUUGCAACUACAUGAUGCUUAUCAAUAGUAUAAUGUAUCAUAAUGAUAAAAAAAAUUAUAUUCAUGCUUUCCACGUUAUUUCAUUGAAUUUAGCGUGUAACAUCACAUAAAAAUUCGUUAUAUAUAUAUAAAUAUAUAUAUAUAAUAUAUUUUUUGUUUUUUAUAAAAAAAGAUUAUUUAUAAAUGAUCAUAGAUGAUUAAAAAAUUCAUUAUAAAAAAUAAAAAAUUAUAAAUCUAUUUUAUUUAUAUUAUGAAUGAAAAAUAAUGUUCAUAAACAAUAUUGUGUAAUUUUAAGAGAUUGAUAUGUGAUUAGUAUUUCUUAGAGAAUAUUUAGUGUGUUCUGUUGCUUAUGAGUUGUAAAAGAGUAUGUGAAUGCAACUUUUUCUCAGAGUAUCGAAGGUCAUUCAAUGCAAUAUCGAUGCACGCAGAGUACGGUAAAUAUUUGCAAUUUAUGUCAUGACGCUCAUAAUGGACUACGUAGGUAUUUCGUAGGUGUAAUUCACAGGUGAUUGCCAUGUAGUUAGUAUUAAUCGACAUUUUCAAUGUUUCGUGUGUAUCAUUAAGAGGUGUGUAUCAUUAAAAUUAUCUUAAUAUUUCAAAUUUAAUAUUUUUUAAAUAUUUCCACAUACAAUUCAAUUAUUUGUAAUUACAUGACUUUUUUUUUUAAUUCUAUAAUAUAAAAUAUAAUUAAAAUCAUAUACUCUAAUCUAUUAAAGCGAAUUUAUAUUUAUAAAGAAGGACGUAAAUUACAUAUUCAUAUUAUUCACGAAUGAAAACCGUAGAAGCUUGCGAAAUGACUCUUGCAAUUGCAUUGGCUACAUGAUUGAUAAAAAAUUUUGUACGAGACAAGAUAUUUAAUAUAAAUAUAAAUUAAAAACAAUUGUUUUUAAAACU
Long non-coding RNA from Apis cerana (Asiatic honeybee), 4149 nucleotides. RefSeq lists it as uncharacterized. NCBI's taxonomy places the organism in Eukaryota, Metazoa, Arthropoda, Insecta, Hymenoptera, Apidae. The record is from RefSeq and is a predicted model, not a curated record.